UCCGGCUUAACACCGGCAGUCCCACUAGAGUGCCAAACUUAAUUGGGCAACUAGUAGUAAGGGUUGCGCUCGUUGCGUCACUUAAGACAACAUCUCACGACACGAGCUGACGACAGCCAUGCAGCACCUGUGUCUAGGUUCCCGAAGGCACAGCCUAAUCUCUUAAGCCUUCCUAGCAUGUCAAGAGCAGGUAAGGUUCUUCGCGUUGCAUCGAAUUAAUCCACAUCAUCCACCGCUUGUGCGGGUCCCCGUCAAUUCCUUUGAGUUUUAAUCUUGCGACCGUACUCCCCAGGCGGUCUACUUCUCGCGUUAGCUUCGCUACUAAAGGUCUCCCCCCAACAGCAAGUAGACAUCGUUUAGGGCGUGGACUAC
This 372-nucleotide unclassified non-coding RNA is filed under the name uncultured Gammaproteobacteria bacterium. RNAcentral describes it as "contains 16S-23S intergenic spacer region". Lineage: Bacteria; Pseudomonadati; Pseudomonadota; Gammaproteobacteria. The record is from RNAcentral.